UUUGCGGCCCCGGGUUCCUCCCGGGGCUACGUCUGUCUGAGGGUCGCUUG
Molecule: ribosomal RNA, 50 nt
Filed under: Galeocerdo cuvier (tiger shark)
Lineage: Eukaryota; Metazoa; Chordata; Chondrichthyes; Carcharhiniformes; Carcharhinidae
Description: partial 5.8S ribosomal RNA
Source: RNAcentral